RNAcentral lists this ribosomal RNA (253 nucleotides) under uncultured bacterium. RNAcentral's name for it is "partial 16S ribosomal RNA". It matches the Rfam family "Bacterial small subunit ribosomal RNA", at positions 524 to 776 of the family's 1533-position model. The record is from RNAcentral.
UACGUAGGGGGCUAGCGUUGUCCGGAAUCAUUGGGCGUAAAGCGCGUGUAGGCGGUCCGGUAAGUCCGCUGUGAAAGCCAGGGGCUCAACCCUUGGAUGCCGGUGGAUACUGUCGGGCUUGAGUACGGAAGAGGCGAGUGGAAUUCCUGGUGUAGCGGUGAAAUGCGCAGAUAUCAGGAGGAACACCAAUGGCGAAGGCAGCACUCUGGGACGUGACUGACGCUGAGACGCGAAAGCGUGGGGAGCAAACAGG